Molecule: ribosomal RNA, 497 nt
Filed under: uncultured bacterium
Lineage: Bacteria
Description: partial 16S ribosomal RNA
Rfam family: Bacterial small subunit ribosomal RNA
Source: RNAcentral
GAUGAACGCUGGCGGCGUGCCUAAUACAUGCCAGUCGAGCGAACAGAUGAGGAGCUUGCUCCUCUGACGUUAGCGGCGGACGGGUGAGUAACACGUGGAUAACCUACCUAUAAGACUGGGAUAACUUCGGGAAACCGGAGCUAAUACCGGAUAAUAUAUUGAACCGCAUGGUUCAAUAGUGAAAGACGGUUUUGCUGUCACUUAUAGAUGGAUCCGCGCCGCAUUAGCUAGUUGGUAAGGUAACGGCUUACCAAGGCAACGAUGCGUAGCCGACCUGAGAGGGUGAUCGGCCACACUGGAACUGAGACACGGUCCAGACUCCUACGGGAGGCAGCAGUAGGGAAUCUUCCGCAAUGGGCGAAAGCCUGACGGAGCAACGCCGCGUGAGAGAUGAAGGUCUUCGGAUCGUAAAACUCUGUUAUUAGGGAAGAACAAAUGUGUAAGUAACUAUGCACGUCUUGACGGUACCUAAUCAGAAAGCCACGGCUAACUACGUG